GUGGGGAAUAUUGCACAAUGGGCGCAAGCCUGAUGCAGCCAUGCCGCGUGUAUGAAGAAGGCCUUCGGGUUGUAAAGUACUUUCAGCGAGGAGGAAGGCAUUAAGGUUAAUAACCUUAGUGAUUGACGUUACUCGCAGAAGAAGCACCGGCUAACUCCGUGCCAGCAGCCGCGGUAAUACGGAGGGUGCAAGCGUUAAUCGGAAUUACUGGGCGUAAAGCGCACGCAGGCGGUCUGUUAAGUCAGAUGUGAAAUCCCCGGGCUCAACCUGGGAACUGCAUUUGAAACUGGCAGGCUUGAGUCUUGUAGAGGGGGGUAGAAUUCCAGGUGUAGCGGUGAAAUGCGUAGAGAUCUGGAGGAAUACCGGUGGCGAAGGCGGCCCCCUGGACAAAGACUGACGCUCAGGUGCGAAAGCGUGGGGAGCAAACAGGAUUAGAAACCCUUGUAGUCC
RNAcentral lists this ribosomal RNA (450 nucleotides) under uncultured bacterium. RNAcentral's name for it is "partial 16S ribosomal RNA". It matches the Rfam family "Bacterial small subunit ribosomal RNA", at positions 354 to 796 of the family's 1533-position model. The record is from RNAcentral.